RNAcentral lists this ribosomal RNA (22 nucleotides) under uncultured Tulasnellaceae. RNAcentral's name for it is "partial 28S ribosomal RNA". The record is from RNAcentral. Lineage: Eukaryota; Fungi; Basidiomycota; Agaricomycetes; Cantharellales; Tulasnellaceae.
AGCAUAUCAAUAAGGGCAGGAA